RNAcentral lists this ribosomal RNA (347 nucleotides) under uncultured Glomus. RNAcentral's name for it is "SSU rRNA". It matches the Rfam family "Eukaryotic small subunit ribosomal RNA", at positions 569 to 919 of the family's 1831-position model. Lineage: Eukaryota; Fungi; Glomeromycota; Glomeromycetes; Glomerales; Glomeraceae. The record is from RNAcentral.
AGCAGCCGCGGUAAUUCCAGCUCCAAUAGCGUAUAUUAAAGUUGUUGCAGUUAAAAAGCUCGUAGUUGAAUUUCGGGAUCAGUACGCUGGUCGUGCCUUCGGUAUGAACUGGUGUCACUGGUUCCUCCCUUCUGAAGAACCGUCAUGCCAUUCAGUUGGUGUGGCGGGGAAUCAGGACUGUUACUUUGAAAAAAUUAGAGUGUUUAAAGCAGGCUCGCGCUUGAAUACAUUAGCAUGGAAUAAUGAAAUAGGACGGUUUGACCCUAUUUUGUUGGUUUCUAGGAUCGACGUAAUGAUUAAUAGGGAUAGUUGGGGGCAUUAGUAUUCAAUUGUCAGAGGUGAAAUUC